UACGGAGGGCGCGAGCGUUGUCCGGAAUCACUGGGCGUAAAGGGCGCGUAGGCGGCCCUGGUAAGCCGGCGGUGAAAGCCCGGGGCUCAACCCCGGGUCGGCCGUGGGGACUGCCGGGCUGGAGCACUGUAGGGGCGGGCGGAAUUCCGGGUGUAGCGGUGGAAUGCGUAGAGAUCCGGAAGAACACCGGUGGCGAAGGCGGCCCGCUGGGCAGUGGCUGACGCUGAGGCGCGACAGCGUGGGGAGCAAACAGG
RNAcentral lists this ribosomal RNA (254 nucleotides) under uncultured bacterium. Its description in RNAcentral is "partial 16S ribosomal RNA". It matches the Rfam family "Bacterial small subunit ribosomal RNA", at positions 524 to 776 of the family's 1533-position model. The record is from RNAcentral.